CUUCAACAACCAGCCUCUAUAUACUAGGGAUGGCAAUUUCCGGGUCCGGGUCCGGGUUUGGUCUUUCCGGUUCCGGACCCGGACACCAAAAAAGUCGUACCGGACCCGGAUUUGAACCCGCCUUUUAUGAGUACGGGUCCGGUCCGGGUUAAACCCGGAAAAUCCGGGUUUCCGGAUUGCGGGUUUUUAAACCCGGAUCACAUACAAAUAAAAAGAAAAACGAAAAGAAUACAAACCCAGUUCUACAGAAAUCAAAUACAACCCAAAUUCCUAAAAAUCAAAUCCAAAUUGUAAAAUUUUCAAUGUUUUCAAAGCCAUAAACCAUUCAAUGCAAAUCUAUAACUCACGAUUCACAAAAUACAAAAUCCAUGUCUACAGACUACAAUUCAAACUCACGAUUCACGGCUUCAGUUCAUGAACUUCAAGGAUCGGCGUCCGGCGAAGCAACAAACGUCGGCUAUUGAUGAUGAUGAUGCGGACGAUGACGAUGAUGACGACCACAACGUCACAGCCGCGAUUACGAUUGGCAAAGGUGGACAAACGGCGGCCAAAUGGAGGUUGAUGGUGCUGGUGAACAUGAACACAACGAAGAUAUGACGAGUGACGAUGAUGAUUUGAUGAAGAGAAGAGCAUGAUUUGUGAAGAGAAGAGAAGAGAAGAGUUGAAGGAGGAAAAGAAUGAGAAGAGAAGAGAAGAAUGAAGGUGGCGGCUAGGUUGUGAAAGUGUGAAAUUAGGGCAUCUCUCUUUUUUUUUUUUUCUAUUUAUAUUAAAAAAAUAAUUUUAAAUUAAAGAUAUCCGG
Molecule: long non-coding RNA, 799 nt
Filed under: Citrus maxima (pomelo)
Lineage: Eukaryota; Viridiplantae; Streptophyta; Magnoliopsida; Sapindales; Rutaceae
Description: long non-coding RNA (CMAX_LNC000283)
Source: RNAcentral